AACGCAUAUGGUACCUCCAGGCCCAGCCCGGAGGUAUGUCUGUUUGAGAAUCAUUUCCACUUUUGCUUUUUGAUCAACCAACAAGCGAUUUGGGCUCACAUCACUGUCUGCCCGAAAGAGCCGCGCUGUCGUGGGGUUGCACAUGCUGCGACAGCAAAACCAUCAGUGAUCCCAAAUCAGACAGGACUACCCGCCGAACUUAA
RNAcentral lists this unclassified non-coding RNA (203 nucleotides) under uncultured fungus. Its description in RNAcentral is "partial contains 5.8S ribosomal RNA, internal transcribed spacer 2, and large subunit ribosomal RNA". Lineage: Eukaryota; Fungi. The record is from RNAcentral.